Manihot esculenta (cassava) is the source of this 1537-nucleotide long non-coding RNA. RefSeq lists it as uncharacterized. NCBI's taxonomy places the organism in Eukaryota, Viridiplantae, Streptophyta, Magnoliopsida, Malpighiales, Euphorbiaceae. The transcript has 2 exons. The record is from RefSeq and is a predicted model, not a curated record.
GCCCGAUAUUAUAAGAAGAGAUGGGUUGGGCUUGAUGAUUCUUUUCCUUGGUCUGUCGGGUUUAUUUCAACAUGCAUAGCAAGUGGAGUCGUUUUUAGGACCAUCCCCUUCAAUCUGGUUUGAUGUGUCAGAGCUAGAGUCAGGAGAUUGGUAGAGGUGAGCAUCUGAUUUUUUCGAAGGCAGGUCUGUAGCUUUGUCCAUUGUAUUUCUUGGUGUAAUCUCUAGACUCAAAGAUUCAUGGAGAUGGAAAGUAUAUAAAUCAGGUGGCUCAAAGGUCGUUGCUUUUCCUUGUAUGGUUUUGGGAUCGUCAAUGUUAUGCCUCUGGGUCUCAUCGGCGUCUUGAUCAUAGUUUUGGCCAGCGAUGUUUGUGUCUUCUUUAUCCAACAAAUGGUCUUUUGGUGGUGAAGAUUGCAAUGGAAAAGCCUUCAGCUAGAAACCGUACUUUGAUCUUCUGCCUUGUUACGCUGAUGAGGAUGAUUGAGUUUCCUGUAUCUUGCAAUCCCGAUUAAUUGACCUAUCCUGCCACAACCCACAAGAGAGAAAAAGUAUUAGCCAAAUCUAAAGUACCUUCGAGUGUUAGAUCCGUCUCUAAGAAUUGACCCAGCAUAUUGCCGAUAAUCUGAGCAUUCCUAGGAUUCAAUUGAUUUGGGGGAUGCCAUGAGCCUGCGACCAAAAAGGCAAGUGACUUGAGUGCAAUCUGUUAAAGGAUUGGAGGUGGACAACUAAGAAUUGGAGCUUUUUAGAUUCAGAGAAUAUAAUUUUCGAUACUUACUGGUCAAUCGUAAUCUUAACCCUUUCUUUUGCGCCUCUGACUGUGAGAAUGGGAUGGGAUGGGUGGGAGUUAUAUGUCCAAACUAGACAGUCAAGCAGGCGAUCUUCUGAGACCCUCUUUAUCUCCUUAUCACUACCAACGACAUUCCUUUUUUAUAUUUUUGAUAUUUCAAGGUAUUAGAAAUUUUUGCUCUUAUAACAAGAAAGAGCAUUAGGAUUUUUUUUUUUUUCUCACACAACCCAUCUAGCAUGCAAAAAUGAAUGCUGAAGCAGUCCCAGGUAAUCACUAUAACACGUCGGAUUUAAAAAUAUAAAACAAUGUUUACAUGAUAUUUAUAUUCUUGUGUUCAAUUUCCUUUCAGCAAAAGAAUUAAGCUUCCAAAUGGUCAAGAUUUGGAGGAACAAGGGAAUGCACAAGGGUCUCAAAAAUAUUUCUGAAGGAGAGAGCAAUAAGCACCACCAAAUCAAUCUCAUCACGUUCGAUCUUAUUACUCGCCCAACACAGACUUCAACACCCCCACACAAUUGAACCAGCGGCGUUGAGAAUAUAUCUUGCAAAAACGCAAGAGCGGACAUGGAUCAUGAAUCAUCAAAAAUCAAUACAAAGAACAAAAGUAAUAGUUCCCCAUAUUAAGUUGACAGGCACUAACCUUCAAAUUUUUCCAGAUACAAUUAAACUCUACAUCAGAUCACCUGUCAUUUGAAUCAUCCUACAUAACGUCCAGUUCCUACUGUAUACAAGUGAAGGGGGGGGGGGGGGGGGAGG